AGAGUUGUAGUCCUGGCUCGGAUGACGCUGCGGCGUGCUUACACAUGCAAGUCGACGGACCAUAUUGAACUAGUGAUAUAUGGGUUAGUGGCGGACGGGUGAGUAACGACGUGGGUAACCUGCCUUACACAGGGGGAUAACACUUAGAAAUAGGUGCUAAAACCGCAUAAGCGCACAGCUUCGCAUGAAGCGGUGUGAAAAACUCCGGUGGUGUAAGAUGGACCCGCGUCUGAUUAGCUUGUUGGCGGGGUAACGGCCCACCAAGGCGACGAUCAGUAGCCGGCCUGAGAGGGCGGACGGCCACAUUGGGACUGAGACACGGCCCAGACUCCUACGGGAGGCAGCAGUGGGGAAUAUUGCACAAUGGGGGAAACCCUGAUGCAGCGACGCCGCGUGAGUGAAGAAGUAAUUCGUUACGUAAAGCUCUAUCAGCAGGGAAGAAAUACUGACCUUACGGUCAGCAGACGGUACCUGAGUAAGAAGCCCCCGGCUAACUACGUG
RNAcentral lists this ribosomal RNA (501 nucleotides) under uncultured Lachnospiraceae bacterium. RNAcentral's name for it is "bacterial SSU rRNA". It matches the Rfam family "Bacterial small subunit ribosomal RNA", at positions 8 to 507 of the family's 1533-position model. Lineage: Bacteria; Bacillati; Bacillota; Clostridia; Lachnospirales; Lachnospiraceae. The record is from RNAcentral.